This 238-nucleotide long non-coding RNA is filed under the name Physcomitrium patens. RNAcentral describes it as "long non-coding RNA (PPAT_LNC011835)". Lineage: Eukaryota; Viridiplantae; Streptophyta; Bryopsida; Funariales; Funariaceae. The record is from RNAcentral.
GAAGAAAAUAAGAGCUUUACAAAUUGUUGUUUAAGAUUCUAUCUACAUGGUCAUUAUUGUAGCUAUACAAAGUCAUUUCUUAAUAUAUUAUCUCCUUAGAAAAACAAGCUCUUUAUUUUUUGGUUGCAUUGAUUCUUUGAAUAAUAUUAAAUAAUGUGCUUAGAUUCUUUAUAAUAUGAGCACAAUUCUUCCUAAUAAUGUCAAAAAUUUUCUUAUUUAAUGAAAGAUUUAAAAAAUA